Molecule: ribosomal RNA, 434 nt
Filed under: uncultured Oscillospiraceae bacterium
Lineage: Bacteria; Bacillati; Bacillota; Clostridia; Eubacteriales; Oscillospiraceae
Description: bacterial SSU rRNA
Rfam family: Bacterial small subunit ribosomal RNA
Source: RNAcentral
ACGGGAGGCAGCAGUGGGGAAUAUUGGGCAAUGGGCGCAAGCCUGACCCAGCAAUGCCGCGUGAAGGAAGAAGGCUUUCGGGUUGUAAACUUCUUUUAAGUGGGACGAUAAUGACGGUACCACUUGAAUAAGCUCCGGCUAACUACGUGCCAGCAGCCGCGGUAAUACGUAGGGAGCAAGCGUUAUCCGGAUUUAUUGGGUGUAAAGGGUGCGUAGACGGAGAAGCAAGUUAGUUGUGAAAUCCCUCGGCUUAACUGAGGAACUGCAACUAAAACUACUUCCCUUGAGUGUCGGAGAGGAAAGUGGAAUUCCUAGUGUAGCGGUGAAAUGCGUAGAUAUUAGGAGGAACACCAGUGGCGAAGGCGACUUUCUGGACGAUUACUGACGUUGAGGCACGAAAGUGUGGGGAGCAAACAGGAUUAGAUACCCUGGUA